UACGUAGGUGGCAAGCGUUGUCCGGAUUUAUUGGGUUUAAAGGGUGCGUAGGCGGCUUUUUAAGUCAGUGGUGAAAGCCGAUCGCUUAACGAUCGAACUGCCAUUGAUACUGAGAGGCUUGAGUAUAGUUGAGGUAGGCGGGAUUGACAGUGUAGCGGUGAAAUGCAUAGAUAUCGUGAAGAACACCGAUUGCGAAGGCAGCUUACUAAAGUAUAACUGACGCUGAGGCGCGAAAGUGUGGGGAUCAAACAGG
This 253-nucleotide ribosomal RNA is filed under the name uncultured bacterium. Its description in RNAcentral is "partial 16S ribosomal RNA". It matches the Rfam family "Bacterial small subunit ribosomal RNA", at positions 524 to 776 of the family's 1533-position model. The record is from RNAcentral.